This 382-nucleotide long non-coding RNA is filed under the name Callithrix jacchus (white-tufted-ear marmoset). Its description in RNAcentral is "lncRNA (ENSCJAG00000074742.1)". Lineage: Eukaryota; Metazoa; Chordata; Mammalia; Primates; Cebidae. The record is from RNAcentral.
UAUAUGUUUCAUUCUGAGAGUGAGAACAAUGAAUCUGAAGAAGGCUCUGCAGAAUCUUCCUUUUCCACAGAAUCUGAAGAAGAAAAUGAAGAAGGAGCUGCAUCAGCCCAGUCAAUGGCUGUUUCUCGAAAAGAUAAUGUUUCUUGGAGGCAUGAAGCAAAUGGCUCUAUCUUCAUUUCCAAAAGUAUCCACUACUUCAAAGAGUAUUCUUGGAGUCAUUAUCUAGAGGAAAUUUUUUGAAAGGUUCAACGUUCAUUUGACACACCAAAUGUACUGACCUAGUUGCCCACCAUUGAAAGCGUGUCCAUGACAUGAUAUUUCUGUCUCUUUCCUGGGAGUUAAAACUCAGAAGAAGCAACUCAGGUAAAUAUAUUCUAGAACU